GUUCCUACGGGGGGCAGCAGUGAGGAAUAUUGGUCAAUGGCCGGAAGGCUGAACCAGCCAAGCCGCGUGAAGGACGAAGGUGCCAAGCAUUGUAAACUUCUUUUGUCAGGGAGCAAUUGAGUCCACGUGUGGGCUUAGCGAGAGUACCUGAAGAAAAAGCAUCGGCUAACUCCGUGCCAGCAGCCGCGGUAAUACGGAGGAUGCGAGCGUUAUCCGGAUUUAUUGGGUUUAAAGGGUGCGUAGGCGGAAUAUCAAGUCAGCGGUAAAAAUUCGGGGCUCAACCCCGUCGGGCCGUUGAAACUGAU
This 305-nucleotide ribosomal RNA is filed under the name uncultured bacterium. Its description in RNAcentral is "bacterial SSU rRNA". It matches the Rfam family "Bacterial small subunit ribosomal RNA", at positions 335 to 637 of the family's 1533-position model. The record is from RNAcentral.